CUUCAUUUUUCCUUCAAAUUUAGUGUCUUCUCAUGCACAGGUUUUCUCAGAUUUCUUUUGUGAGGAAGCAAGUCUGGAGCUCUGAUUUUGCUGGGCAUAAUAUAGAAAGAAGAAGAGAGGAACAGGGGACCUCUUCCAUGAUGGGGAAACCUAAUUUUUGUCUCGGUCCUUUAAUUGAGUUGAUGUUGGCUGGAUGGAGGAGCUUGAUCUUAUGGUCAGAUGGAGGAAGAGACAGGAGACAAAACCAGAAGGGAACAUUCAGAAAAGAGAAGUGAUCUGAGACAGCCACACUGCCAUGACAGAUGGGAUGGAUGGACAGAGGAACAGUGAAGAAUCUAGAAACAUCACACAUCAGGUAAGGCAGUUCUUCUGCUUUGGUGAAAGCUCUUAAAUAAUCUAAAUAGACUAUUCAAAAUAUCUUUAAGAUUAU
Molecule: long non-coding RNA, 430 nt
Filed under: Cyanistes caeruleus (blue tit)
Lineage: Eukaryota; Metazoa; Chordata; Aves; Passeriformes; Paridae
Description: lncRNA (ENSCCEG00000009075.1)
Source: RNAcentral